UACGUAGGGUGCGAGCGUUAAUCGGAAUUACUGGGCGUAAAGCGUGCGCAGGCGGUUCUCCAAGUCCGGUGUGAAAGCCCCGGGCUCAACCUGGGGAUGGCAGUGGAAACUAGGGGUCUGGAAUCUGGCAGAGGGGGGUGGAAUGCCGCGUGUAGCAGUGAAAUGCGUAGAGAUGCGGCGGAACACCGAUGGCGAAGGCAGCCCCCUGGGCUGAGAUUGACGCUCAGGCACGAAAGCGUGGGGAGCAAACAGG
Molecule: ribosomal RNA, 253 nt
Filed under: uncultured bacterium
Lineage: Bacteria
Description: partial 16S ribosomal RNA
Rfam family: Bacterial small subunit ribosomal RNA
Source: RNAcentral